CCGAAACCAGGUGAUCUACCCAUGUCCAGGAUGAAGGUAAGGUAAUACUUACUGGAGGUCCGAACCCACGCACGUUGAAAAGUGCGGGGAUGAGGUGUGGGUAGCGGAGAAAUUCCAAUCGAACUUGGAGAUAGCUGGUUCUCUCCGAAAUAGCUUUAGGGCUAGCCUCGAGGUAAAGAGUCAUGGAGGUAGAGCACUGUUUGGACUAGGGGCCCUUCUCGGGUUACCGAAUUCAGAUAAACUCCGAAUGCCAUGUACUUAUACUCGGGAGUCAGACUGCGAGUGAUAAGAUCCGUAGUCGAAAGGGAAACAGCCCAGACCACCAGUUAAGGUCCCCAAAUAUAUGUUAAGUGGAAAAGGAUGUGGGGUUGCUUAGACAACCAGGAUGUUGGCUUAGAAGCAGCCACCAUUGAAAGAGUGCGUAAUAGCUCACUGGUCGAGUGACCCCGCGCCGAAAAUGUACCGGGGCUAAACAUAUUACCGAAACUGUGGAUGAACCUCUUUAGAGGUUCGUGGUAGGAGAGCGUUCUAAGGGCGGUGAAGUCAGACCGGAAGGACUGGUGGAGCGCUUAGAAGUGAGAAUGCCGGUAUGAGUAGCGAAAGAAGGGUGAGAAUCCCUUCCACCGAAUAUCUAAGGUUUCCUGAGGAAGGCUCGUCCGCUCAGGGUUAGUCGGGACCUAAGCCGAGGCC
Molecule: ribosomal RNA, 690 nt
Filed under: Listeria monocytogenes
Lineage: Bacteria; Bacillati; Bacillota; Bacilli; Caryophanales; Listeriaceae
Description: bacterial LSU rRNA
Rfam family: Bacterial large subunit ribosomal RNA
Source: RNAcentral